Long non-coding RNA from Octopus bimaculoides (California two-spot octopus), 596 nucleotides. RefSeq lists it as uncharacterized. NCBI's taxonomy places the organism in Eukaryota, Metazoa, Mollusca, Cephalopoda, Octopoda, Octopodidae. The record is from RefSeq and is a predicted model, not a curated record.
AGAUUGCUAAAUUUCGGUGAUCAGAAGGAAGCUGGCGUUCUCGGUGUGAUGUGAGCAUAAUCUAAACAAAAAAGAUAUUGUUACUGGAAAAACAUAAUUACGGAAAGGAAAUACUGUGAAAGAAGAAACACAAGUGUGUGUUGUGAAGGAAAAGAAAUGUAUUGCUUUCCGAUGACUUUUUGAAAUGUGAUGAUUCACAUCUAAAGCUGGAAAUAAUUUCUACAUCGGAAUUGAACCUUUCAAUGAAUUUCGAUAUAAGAAUUGCUUUGAAGUUCAGGCAUAUAUCAUCACAGCUCAUAAAAGAAUCAAGUUAUGAUGGUGAUGUUAAUUAUAAUAGUGCCACUCGACAGCUCAUUGUUGUAUAACACCAGAAUACGACUGCUCUUGUCAGAAACAAUACAUUUUAAUCUGCUAAGCUUCGCUGAAAAUAUUUUCGAAUGAUGCCGUUUUUUUGGCUUUGUCAAGCAAAGCUGUUAACUGCUGUCACGGCUUUCGUGACUGCUUCUAACUGCUCCCCCCCUCUUCAAGCAGCAAACAUGUUGACAUUUUUACUGAAAAUAUGUUACAUUUAAUAAAAACAAAACUUUAACCAUUAA